Molecule: ribosomal RNA, 468 nt
Filed under: uncultured bacterium
Lineage: Bacteria
Description: partial 16S ribosomal RNA
Rfam family: Bacterial small subunit ribosomal RNA
Source: RNAcentral
GACGAACGCUGGCGGCGUGCUUAACACAUGCAAGUCGAACGGAAAGGCCCUGCUUUUGUGGGGUGCUCGAGUGGCGAACGGGUGAGUAACACGUGAGUAACCUGCCCUUGACUUUGGGAUAACUUAAGGAAACUGGGGCUAAUACCGGAUAGGAGCUCCUGCUGCAUGGUGGGGGUUGGAAAGUUUCGGCGGUUGGGGAUGGACUCGCGGCUUAUCAGCUUGUUGGUGGGGUAGUGGCUUACCAAGGCUUGGACGGGUAGCCGGCCUGAGAGGGUGACCGGCCACAUUACGACUGCGAUACGGCCCAGACUCGUAUGGUAGGCAGCGGUGGGGAAUAUUGUACAGUGGGCGGGAGCCUGAUGCGGCCACGCCGCGUGCGGGAUGACGUCCUUCGGGUUGUGAACCGCAGCCGCCUGUGACGAAGCGUUAGUGACGGUAAUGGGUAAAUAAGCACCGGCUAACUACGUG